GGACGGAUGGGCGGACUUCUAGACUGUCUGUUAGUGGCGGACGGGUGCGUAACACGUGGAUGACCUACCCUCUGUGUGGGGGAUAGCUCGCGGAAACGCGGGGUAAGACCGCAUACGCUCACUGGGGGCGACCCGAGUGAGGAAAACCUGUAAAGGUGCCAGAGGAGGGGUCCGCGGCCGAUUAGCUAGUUGGUGGGGUAAGAGCCUACCAAGGCGACGAUCGGUAGCUGGUCUGAGAGGAUGAUCAGCCACACUGGGAUUGAGAACGGCCCAUACUCCUACGGGGGGCAGCAGUGAGGAAUAUUCGGCAAUGGGGGCAACCCUGACCGAGCAACGCCGCGUGGAGGACGACGCCCUUCGGGGUGUAAACUCCUUUUCUGGGGAACGAGGUAUACGGACGGUACCCCAGGAAGAAGCCUCGGCUAACUACGUGCCAGCAGCCGCGGUAAU
Molecule: ribosomal RNA, 450 nt
Filed under: uncultured bacterium
Lineage: Bacteria
Description: bacterial SSU rRNA
Rfam family: Bacterial small subunit ribosomal RNA
Source: RNAcentral